Molecule: ribosomal RNA, 501 nt
Filed under: uncultured bacterium
Lineage: Bacteria
Description: bacterial SSU rRNA
Rfam family: Bacterial small subunit ribosomal RNA
Source: RNAcentral
CAGGAUGAACGCUAGCGACAGGCUUAACACAUGCAAGUCGAGGGGCAGCACGGGAGUAGCAAUACUUUGGUGGCGACCGGCGCACGGGUGAGUAACGCGUAUGCAACCUACCUAUCAGAGGGGAAUAACCCGGCGAAAGUCGGACUAAUACCGCAUAAAACAGGGGCACCGCAUGGUGAUAUUUGUUAAAGAAAUUCGCUGAUAGAUGGGCAUGCGUUCCAUUAGGUAGUUGGUGAGGUAACGGCUCACCAAGCCGACGAUGGAUAGGGGAACUGAGAGGUUGGUCCCCCACACUGGUACUGAGACACGGACCAGACUCCUACGGGAGGCAGCAGUGAGGAAUAUUGGUCAAUGGGCGGGAGCCUGAACCAGCCAAGUCGCGUGAAGGAAGAAGGAUCUAUGGUUCGUAAACUUCUUUUGCAGGGGAAUAAAGUGCAGGACGUGUCCUGUUUUGUAUGUACCCUGAGAAUAAGGAUCGGCUAACUCCGUGCCAGCCGCGGC